GGCCGACUAGCUCAGUUGGUUAGAGCGUCGUGCUAAUAUAACAUAUUAACAUAUUAACGCGAAGGUCUUGGGUUCGAUCCCCACGUUGGCCA
This 92-nucleotide transfer RNA is filed under the name Moniliophthora perniciosa FA553. It matches the Rfam family "tRNA". Rfam says of the family: Transfer RNA (tRNA) molecules are approximately 80 nucleotides in length. Their secondary structure includes four short double-helical elements and three loops (D, anti-codon, and T loops). Further hydrogen bonds mediate the characteristic L-shaped molecular structure. tRNAs have two regions of fundamental functional importance: the anti-codon, which is responsible for specific mRNA codon recognition, and the 3' end, to which the tRNAs corresponding amino acid is attached (by aminoacyl-tRNA synthetases). tRNAs cope with the degeneracy of the genetic code in two manners: having more than one tRNA (with a specific anti-codon) for a particular amino acid; and 'wobble' base-pairing, i.e. permitting non-standard base-pairing at the 3rd anti-codon position. Lineage: Eukaryota; Fungi; Basidiomycota; Agaricomycetes; Agaricales; Marasmiaceae. The record is from Rfam by way of RNAcentral.